AGGAGGAUCAUUUUCUGCAGCUCCUUCUGAAGCGCAGAUUGAGCUUUUCAACUCUUUGAUUGAUGGAUGUCGAGAGGCAGUCAAUAUGGGAAACAUUGAUCCGAAGGGGCCACUUCUAGAUUUUUGGUGUCUCUGUGAAAGCUAAUGAUCUUCUUACUCGAGUUCAAGCACUCCAGCUUCUAGCAAAGCGCAUCAACCACUACACUGAUCCAAUCAGGCAGUUCAGGGUGUUGACUUAUCUCAAACCUUCGAAUUGGUCCAAAGGCUGUGGAUGGAAUCAGAUUGACGAUGCAAGAUUACUGCUUGGCAUCUAUUAUCAUGGAUUUGGCAAUUGGGAGAAGAUACGGUUAGAUGGAAGUCUUGGCCUUACAAAGAAGAUUGCUCCAGUCGAACUUCAGCACCAUGAGACAUUUCUACCACGUGCUCCAAAUUUGCGAGACCGUGCAACUGCUCUUCUAGAAAUGGAACUUGAUGCUGCUGGAGGCAAGAAUUUAAUGUCAAAGGAGGACGUAAAGCCUCUAAGAAUGUCAAAGAUAAUGUUCUCAACACCGCUCAAACAAGGGAGAACAGAGCUGCUGCUCCUGUGAAAGUUAAGUUGCAAGCAAAAAAAGAAAGGCCUCAGAAAUUGGCGAAAGCUGAACCAUUAGCUAAAGAGGAAGGUGAAAUGUCAGAUGAUGAAGAAGUGUAUGAGCAGUUUAAGGAAGCGAAUGGAUGGAGUGGUGUGAAGAUGUCAUGGCGGAUGAGAUAAAAACGUUGAAUCGUCUUCAUAGAUUACAGACUACCAGUGCCAAUCUUCCCAAGGAAAAGGUGCUUGCAAGGAUUCGAAAUUAUCUCCAGCUCAUUGGAAGAAGGAUUGAUGGAAUCGUUUAUGAAUACGAGGAGGAGACUUACAAGCAAGACAGGAUGACCACGU
Molecule: long non-coding RNA, 913 nt
Organism: Eucalyptus grandis
Lineage: Eukaryota; Viridiplantae; Streptophyta; Magnoliopsida; Myrtales; Myrtaceae
Exons: 6
Source: RefSeq, a predicted model, not a curated record